UGGGGAAUAUUGCACAAUGGGGGAAACCCUGAUGCAGCGACGCCGCGUGAGCGAAGAAGGCUUUCGAGUCGUAAAGCUCUGUCCUAUGAGAAGAUAAUGACGGUAUCAUAGGAGGAAGCCCUGGCUAAAUACGUGCCAGCAGCCGCGGUAAUACGUAUGGGGCGAGCGUUGUCCGGAAUUAUUGGGCGUAAAGGGUACGUAGGCGGUUUUUUAAGUCAGGUGUCAAAGCGUGGAGCUUAACUCCAUUAAGCACUUGAAACUGAAAGACUUGAGUGAAGGAGAGGAAAGUGGAAUUCCUAGUGUAGCGGUGAAAUGCGUAGAUAUUAGGAGGAAUAACGGUGGCGAAGGCGACUUUCUGGACUUUUACUGACGCUCAGGUACGAAAGCGUGGGGAGCAAACAGG
RNAcentral lists this ribosomal RNA (403 nucleotides) under Verrucomicrobiota bacterium. RNAcentral describes it as "Verrucomicrobia bacterium partial 16S ribosomal RNA". It matches the Rfam family "Bacterial small subunit ribosomal RNA", at positions 355 to 776 of the family's 1533-position model. Lineage: Bacteria; Pseudomonadati; Verrucomicrobiota. The record is from RNAcentral.